AACGCGAAGAACCUUACCUACCCUUGACAUCCUUGGAAUCCUGUAGAGAUAUGGGAGUGCUUCGGAACCAAGAGACAGGUGCUGCAUGGCUGUCGUCAGCUCGUGUCGUGAGAUGUUGGGUUAAGUCCCGUAACGAGCGCAACCCCUAUACUUAGUUGCUAAUUGCGAAAGCGAUGCACUUUAAGUAGACUGCCGGUGACAAACCGGAGGAAGGUGGGGAUGAUGUCAAGUCAUCAUGGCCCUUAUGGGUAGGGCUACACACGUGCUACAAUGGGCAGUACAGAGGGAGUUGAAACCGCGAGGUGAAACGAAUCUCAGAAAACUGUUCGUAGUCCGGAUUGGAGUCUGCAACUCGACUCCAUGAAGUUGGAAUCGCUAGUAAUCGCAAAUCAGCAUGUUGCGGUGAAUACGUUCCCGGGCCUUGUACACACCGACGCAC
Molecule: ribosomal RNA, 439 nt
Filed under: uncultured bacterium
Lineage: Bacteria
Description: bacterial SSU rRNA
Rfam family: Bacterial small subunit ribosomal RNA
Source: RNAcentral